This 254-nucleotide ribosomal RNA is filed under the name uncultured bacterium. RNAcentral's name for it is "partial 16S ribosomal RNA". It matches the Rfam family "Bacterial small subunit ribosomal RNA", at positions 524 to 776 of the family's 1533-position model. The record is from RNAcentral.
UACGUAGGGUGCGAGCGUUAAUCGGAAUUACUGGGCGUAAAGUGUGCGCAGGUGGCCGCGCAAGUCGAGUGUGAAAUCCCCGAGCUUAACUUGGGAAUUUGCGCUCGAAACUACGUGGCUCGAGUGUGGCAGAGGAAGGUGGAAUUCCACGUGUAGCGGUGAAAUGCGUAGAGAUGUGGAGGAACACCGAUGGCGAAGGCAGCCUUCUGGGCCAACACUGACGCCCAUGCACGAAAGCGUGGGGAGCAAACAGG